UGAAUUUUAAUAAAAAAAUUUGAUUGCAUUACAUUAUAUUACGACCUACCAAAAAUUUCAAUCUGUCAUUGUUAUGAUUAAUUUGCACUUCUGCAGUUAUCUCUUCAGUUUACUAGCUUUGCAUUUAGCAUCCACCUUAUUGUUAUUGGAGCGAGAUUGCCCUCAAUUCUAUUUAAUUAAUAGCGUGUUUGACAGAAGUGGAUAUAAAUAUUAAUAAAGUAAA
This 223-nucleotide unclassified non-coding RNA is filed under the name Hevea brasiliensis (rubber tree). The record is from RNAcentral. Lineage: Eukaryota; Viridiplantae; Streptophyta; Magnoliopsida; Malpighiales; Euphorbiaceae.